UCCUCUGUGGCGCAAUUGGCUAGCGCGUCUGACUGUUACAGCUUGCAGUAGCAGUCCAUCAGGAGGUUGGAAGUUCGAGCCUUCCCGGAGGAG
Transfer RNA from Alternaria alternata, 93 nucleotides. It matches the Rfam family "tRNA". From Rfam's summary of the family: Transfer RNA (tRNA) molecules are approximately 80 nucleotides in length. NCBI's taxonomy places the organism in Eukaryota, Fungi, Ascomycota, Dothideomycetes, Pleosporales, Pleosporaceae. The record is from Rfam.